RNA transcript from Hyaena hyaena (striped hyena), 1909 nucleotides. It is a transcript of the gene named transmembrane protein 217, with no coding region annotated. NCBI's taxonomy places the organism in Eukaryota, Metazoa, Chordata, Mammalia, Carnivora, Hyaenidae. The transcript is spliced from 4 exons. The record is from RefSeq and is a predicted model, not a curated record.
CAGGUGGACCGGGAAGGCGGAGCUUGGAAGAGCCGGGAGGCGGGGCUGAAAGUUCCUCAACCCUGGGAGUGGAAGAAGCAGGGUGCAUUUGGGGCAGGAGUCAGAAACUCUGAUCAUUUACCACAUUGGCAGGAACCAGAACUCUCCUGUAUCUUGUUCGUCUUCACGGGAAGUCUCAGCAUGAGACAGCAGCACUGGUUUGGCAUGACUGCCAAAAUGGGCACCGUGUUAUCAGGGGUCUUUACCAUCAUGGCCGCCAACAUGUGCCUCAUCUUCGAACACAAGUACUUAAGGAGCAACAAUUGCACUGAUAAUAACCUGCAGAACAAUAGUGCAAGUGUCCUGAUAAGCCACUUCAUCAUCUGCUGGGCUUUCAAUAUUGUCUUCUUCCUGUCUUUCAUUACCCUCAUCAUCAGCUUCUUCCUCCUGUACUCAGUGUAUGCCCAAAUACACGGGGGCUUGGUGACCUACAUGAUCUGGAUCCUUUUCUACGAAGUUGUAAACAUUAUAGUACAAAUCUUUACCAACAAUGACUCUGUCAUUGAAGAGGUCAGAGUCGUGCGUUGGUUUGGCUUGAUGUCCCGUAUUUUCAUGCACUGUUUCUGGAUAUUCUAUGUCAUCUCCUAUGCUCACAUAAUCUACAAAAGUCAAAGCCCAGGCAAUAUAAUUUUCUACAACAGGCGUAUUUCGACAGCCACUGGAGAGUUCCUACGACGGAAAUCCAAGAUCAUCAACCUUACCCGACACUAUAGUAAAUAAUGUUUGCCCUUCUCUCCACUGAUGGUAAUUCUAGUUCCAUCUCUCUCACUUCUGCUGAUCUGUUCGGAAUAGAGACUCUGCUGCCAUCUUUUUGGGAGACUAUGGAGAGGAAUGUAAUUAUAAUCCCAACGAGGACCACCUGCUCAGGAAGGGCGUUUAAUGAAAGGCCAUUGUUGUUUACCAAGCACUUCUUGGGUUUCUCCUUCGUUUUCUGGUCAGUGCCGCCUUAGAGGUCAAAAUAAAGAGGGCAAGGGAAUGAAAUGAAGCUGAGUCGCAGUCUGGCAAUCCUUUCGCCUUGGUAUAUGCCUUCAUCAGCCUUCAACCCACAGCUCUCUAAUUCAACCCUGGGACACAGGCAUAUCUGGAUUUAUACCUCAGUGAUUCUGGAUCAGAUCUUGCUACAUCUUGAGGACAUCGGACCACCUCCUCCACAGCCUUUAUCACAACGCAUGCAGGUGCUGUGGUAAAACACGUAUAAAAUGAACAACAAGACUCCCUGCCUCGUGGUGGGCAUCUUCUCUAUCCUCAACACCAUCCAGUUCCUCAUCUUUGAUUUGAACCACAUUACGUACUUUGGCUACGAGGACAGAGUCAAUAUCUACAUGGACACAAACUCUGAGACGGUAUCUUGGGUCAUGGCCCACAAGGGAAGCAUCAACAUCGUCUUAUCCACCACCACCAUCUUGUUCGGCGUGUUGCUUCUCUAUUGCAUCCACACGAACAACUACGUGGGGCUGCUGUGCUACGCACUGUGGAUCAUCGUCUAUGAACUCAUCAGUUUCUCCAUGGUCAUGCUCAUCAAUGGGAUCAUCAAUGAUCAGUUCAAGGAGCUGAGUUACCAGCAUCUGCUCUUCCAAAUCUCCCGUAUGCUCCUUCACUUCUUCUCUCUGCCUUUCAUCACCAAGCAUACCUGCAUCCUUUACAAGAUCCCCAAGGUUUCAGUUAAAAUAAACCGCCACAGGCGCUCCUCCAUCAGUACAGUCGAUUCGUGGCCACCUGUCGGGCUGGGAAGCUUGUACCACAAGUUAAACUGAACUGUGCCAGGAAGGAGAGAAAGAGAGGCACAGCACUCCCCAGCAAUAGCUUCCCCUUUUCCCUCUUGCCUUCUGUUGCUUCUACUUACCUUUUAAAGAUUCUUGAGUUUUAUGCA